Molecule: long non-coding RNA, 991 nt
Filed under: Homo sapiens (human)
Lineage: Eukaryota; Metazoa; Chordata; Mammalia; Primates; Hominidae
Description: HSALNT0243338
Source: RNAcentral
GGGAAGGGCGGAGCUGCGUCCCGGGGAGACACGCGUUGCAGCCGGCAGCGUAGUUGCUCCCCGCUGGCCGGCCGCUCCGGGAGGGCCCCGCAGCGGAGGGUCGGGGCUGGGGCGGGCUGGGGAGGGGGCCCAGGGCUGGGGCCGGUUCGGCCUCCCGGGUGGCGCGCGGGCCGAGGAGCUAGGAGGACCGCCGCGCCGCUUGUCCUUUGGAUAAACCUUGGCGGUUCCUCCUCUGGUGUCCGUGGACCCCGCCGCGGCGUUCUCCAGGGCCGCGGACCUUUGCCCACCGGUUGCGCCCGCUGCCCCGGGCAGAAAGGACCCCCCUCCUCCCGGACCGAGCCCCGAGCCCCAUGGAGCAGGCAAGGGCCAGAGUCCCGGGGCCGAGGCCCGACCGGCGGACGCUCCGGGACCUUUUCCCGCCCCCGAGGGUGCAUGUCCGGCCGGGGCCGGGACUGGCUGGGAAACCGAGGCCAGAAGAGGUCGCAAUCCAGCGAGGAAUCGGUUUGUGUGGGGUGGGGGUGGGAUGGGAGACCCCUCCCCAACCCCACCAGCCCCAGCCCAGCUGUGGCCUCAGCCAUGUCACUCAGAAAACCAGCGUCAAACCCCACCCUGCCCAGGAUGUGGACCUUGCCUGGUGAGAGUCCCGCUCGGAUUUCCCCAGGGCCCCUCCACCGCGCAGCAGGGGUGUCUGCGCUGGGCCCAGGCAUUCACCAGGGCCUGCAGGCUGCCAGCCUGGAGUUUCCCUAGGAUCAAAUGUGCCACCGGAAGCUGAAGGUGGGGACGACCAGUGGCCCCCCCCGGAGCGAAAACCCCCGCAUCUCUCCAGGAUGGGGGAUCUGCUUGGGGGUCCACUUAGGGGUGUAUCCCUCAGGCAUUGGAAGUGCGGAUGGGAGGCCCCGAGCCAUGGUGGCUCCCCCAGUCCCCAGUUCUUUCUCUGUGUGAAUCCAGCUUUGCAGGGACGGGGAUGUGGUGCAUUUCCCGGAAGAGCCGG